RNAcentral lists this ribosomal RNA (253 nucleotides) under uncultured bacterium. Its description in RNAcentral is "partial 16S ribosomal RNA". It matches the Rfam family "Bacterial small subunit ribosomal RNA", at positions 524 to 776 of the family's 1533-position model. The record is from RNAcentral.
UACGAGGGGGGCGAGCGUUGUCCGGAAUUAUUGGGCGUAAAGGGUGCGUAGGCGGUUUGGUAAGUCUUAUGUGAAAUCUACAGGCUCAACUUGUAGUCUGCAUGAGAAACUGCCGGGCUUGAGUAUGGGAGAGGUGAGUGGAAUUCCUGGUGUAGCGGUGAAAUGCGUAGAUAUCAGGAGGAACACGUGUGGCGAAAGCGGCUCACUGGACCAUAACUGACGCUGAUGCACGAAAGCUAGGGGAGCAAACAGG